Molecule: ribosomal RNA, 465 nt
Filed under: uncultured Klebsiella sp.
Lineage: Bacteria; Pseudomonadati; Pseudomonadota; Gammaproteobacteria; Enterobacterales; Enterobacteriaceae
Description: bacterial SSU rRNA
Rfam family: Bacterial small subunit ribosomal RNA
Source: RNAcentral
CCUACGGGUGGCUGCAGUGGGGAAUAUUGCAUAAUGGGCGCAAGCCUGAUGCAGCCAUGCCGCGUGUGUGAAGAAGGCCUUCGGGUUGUAAAGCACUUUCAGCGGGGAGGAAGGCGGUGAGGUUAAUAACCUCAUCGAUUGACGUUACCCGCAGAAGAAGCACCGGCUAACUCCGUGCCAGCAGCCGCGGUAAUACGGAGGGUGCAAGCGUUAAUCGGAAUUACUGGGCGUAAAGCGCACGCAGGCGGUCUGUCAAGUCGGAUGUGAAAUCCCCGGGCUCAACCUGGGAACUGCAUUCGAAACUGGCAGGCUAGAGUCUUGUAGAGGGGGGUAGAAUUCCAGGUGUAGCGGUGAAAUGCGUAGAGAUCUGGAGGAAUACCGGUGGCGAAGGCGGCCCCCUGGACAAAGACUGACGCUCAGGUGCGAAAGCGUGGGGAGCAAACAGGAUUAGAUACCCGGGUAGUC